RNAcentral lists this ribosomal RNA (736 nucleotides) under Lacticaseibacillus rhamnosus. RNAcentral's name for it is "bacterial SSU rRNA". It matches the Rfam family "Bacterial small subunit ribosomal RNA", at positions 801 to 1533 of the family's 1533-position model. Lineage: Bacteria; Bacillati; Bacillota; Bacilli; Lactobacillales; Lactobacillaceae. The record is from RNAcentral.
GGGGGAAGAUGAUGCUAGUGUUGGAGGGUUUCCGCCCUUCAGUGCCGCAGCUAACGCAUUAAGCAUUCCGCCUGGGGAGUACGACCGCAAGGUUGAAACUCAAAGGAAUUGACGGGGGCCCGCACAAGCGGUGGAGCAUGUGGUUUAAUUCGAAGCAACGCGAAGAACCUUACCAGGUCUUGACAUCUUUUGAUCACCUGAGAGAUCAGGUUUCCCCUUCGGGGGCAAAAUGACAGGUGGUGCAUGGUUGUCGUCAGCUCGUGUCGUGAGAUGUUGGGUUAAGUCCCGCAACGAGCGCAACCCUUAUGACUAGUUGCCAGCAUUUAGUUGGGCACUCUAGUAAGACUGCCGGUGACAAACCGGAGGAAGGUGGGGAUGACGUCAAAUCAUCAUGCCCCUUAUGACCUGGGCUACACACGUGCUACAAUGGAUGGUACAACGAGUUGCGAGACCGCGAGGUCAAGCUAAUCUCUUAAAGCCAUUCUCAGUUCGGACUGUAGGCUGCAACUCGCCUACACGAAGUCGGAAUCGCUAGUAAUCGCGGAUCAGCACGCCGCGGUGAAUACGUUCCCGGGCCUUGUACACACCGCCCGUCACACCAUGAGAGUUUGUAACACCCGAAGCCGGUGGCGUAACCCUUUUAGGGAGCGAGCCGUCUAAGGUGGGACAAAUGAUUAGGGUGAAGUCGUCAAAGGGUGAACACGAGAGGGGGGAACUCUGGAGCGGAACGUCUGGU